UACGGAGGGUGCAAGCGUUAUCCGGAUUCACUGGGUUUAAAGGGUGCGUAGGUGGGUUGGUAAGUCCGUGGUGAAAUCUCCGAGCUUAACUCGGAAACUGCCGUGGAUACUAUCAAUCUUGAAUACUGUGGAGGUAAGCGGAAUAUGUCAUGUAGCGGUGAAAUGCUUAGAUAUGACAUAGAACACCGAUAGCGGAGGCAGCUUGCUGGACAGUCAUUGACACUGAGGCACGAAAGCGUGGGGAGCAAACAGG
RNAcentral lists this ribosomal RNA (253 nucleotides) under uncultured bacterium. RNAcentral's name for it is "partial 16S ribosomal RNA". It matches the Rfam family "Bacterial small subunit ribosomal RNA", at positions 524 to 776 of the family's 1533-position model. The record is from RNAcentral.